RNAcentral lists this ribosomal RNA (498 nucleotides) under uncultured bacterium. RNAcentral describes it as "partial 16S ribosomal RNA". It matches the Rfam family "Bacterial small subunit ribosomal RNA", at positions 28 to 507 of the family's 1533-position model. The record is from RNAcentral.
GACGAACGCUGGCGGCGUGCCUAAUACAUGCAAGUCGAGCGGACGGAUGGGAGCUUGCUCCCAGACCGUCAGCGGCGGACGGGUGAGUAACACGUGGGCAACCUGCCUGUAAGACUGGGAUAACUCCGGGAAACCGGGGCUAAUACCGGAUAACUCUUUCCCUCACAUGAGGGAAAGCUGAAAGAUGGCAUCUCGCUAUCACUUACAGAUGGUCCCGCGGCGCAUUAGCUAGUUGGUGAGGUAACGGCUCACCAAGGCGACGAUGCGUAGCCGACCUGAGAGGGUGAUCGGCCACACUGGAACUGAGACACGGCCCAGACUCCUACGGGAGGCAGCAGUAGGGAAUCUUCCGCAAUGGACGAAAGUCUGACGGAGCAACGCCGCGUGAGUGAUGAAGGUUUUCGGAUCGUAAAACUCUGUUGUCAGGGAAGAACAAGUACCGGAGUAACUGCCGGUACCUUGACGGUACCUGACCAGAAAGCCACGGCUAACUACGUG